Molecule: long non-coding RNA, 828 nt
Filed under: Homo sapiens (human)
Lineage: Eukaryota; Metazoa; Chordata; Mammalia; Primates; Hominidae
Description: non-protein coding lnc-KRT80-1:5
Source: RNAcentral
AGAAGAUGAUGCAUGUGAGCCCUGCCCUUGGGAAGCUUCCAGGUUGGGAAAUGAGGAAUGAGCCUGACACCCAGGGCCCAGAGAGACCCAGGACAGAGGCAGGUCAGGAGGCAGACACGCGCUGCUGGGUAAUGACGACAGCACCAGUAAUCACGGCUACUCCUUGUUAAGUACUUACUAAGUGCAAGACUCCAAGCUAAGCAAUUAAUAGACCUUUUCUUGUUUAAUCCUUACCACAAUUCCAUAGGAUGUUCUCACAGAGCUACACAUGCCACAGUCAUCACUAGUUGCGAGAGUCUCCAGUGUUCAUUAAGCCUAUUUUGCUGGAAGUUUAGUCCCUGGAGGAUUAGUCCCUGCCCUUAAGGAGUGCCAAAGAAGACUUUGGAAUCUAAGUCACAUCUCCCCUGCUGCAAUUUUUUCCUCUUGAUAAUCAAGGAAUCUCACUGAUAAAACUCUCAAUGAGGAGCAGCUCUCCCCAUGAGCAAGUUCUUGCCUUCAUUGCCAGGGAGGCCCCAGCUAAGGUUAUACUGGGAAAGGAAUCUCUGGGGAGUACCUGGAAGAGGUCAGCUUCUCCUCAAAGGAAGCCUCUCCAGCUGGUGUACUGCAAAGCCUUCCAAGACCAAGUUCCCUCUUCCUGGCCUCUGGAACCAGCCUGUGUGCCAGCGCUGUGUCCCCAGUAACACACAUGAGUCUCUCCCUCAGAAGCCACAGAAGGAUGCAGAGAGAGACCAACCCAGGAUUGAUUCUCAGCACUUACUAAUUGUGUGGACAUAACUGCUCUGGACCUCAGCUUUGCUAUCUAUAAAAUGAGCACCCUUUUUAUAGAUA